Molecule: ribosomal RNA, 717 nt
Filed under: uncultured bacterium
Lineage: Bacteria
Description: bacterial SSU rRNA
Rfam family: Bacterial small subunit ribosomal RNA
Source: RNAcentral
CCUACCCAUAAGAGGGGGAUAACAGUUGGAAACGACUGCUAAUACCGCAUAAGCUAUUGAGGUCGCAUGACCUAAAUAGUAAAGGUGGCGCCUGUUUACAGGCUAUCACUUAUGGAUGGGCCCGCGUCUGAUUAGCUAGUUGGUGGGGUAGAAGCCUACCAAGGCAACGAUCAGUAGCCGGCCUGAGAGGGUGGACGGCCACACUGGGACUGAGACACGGCCCAGACUCCUACGGGAGGCAGCAGUGGGGAAUAUUGCGCAAUGGGGGAAACCCUGACGCAGCGACGCCGCGUGAGCGAUGAAGGCCUUAGGGUCGUAAAGCUCUGUUGUAAGGGACGAAUGUUUAUCUGGCGAACAGUCAGAUAAAGUGACGGUACCUUACCAGCAAGCCCCGGCUAACUACGUGCCAGCAGCCGCGGUAAGACGUAGGGGGCGAGCGUUGUCCGGAAUUACUGGGCGUAAAGAGCACGUAGGCGGAUAAUUAAGUCAGAUGUGAAAGACCGGGGCCCAACCUCGGGGUUGCAUCUGAAACUGGAUAUCUUGAGGGCAGGAGAGGAAAGUGGAAUUCCUGGUGUAGCGGUGAAAUGCGUAGAAAUCAGGAGGAAUACCAGUGGCGAAGGCGACUUUCUGGACUGACCCUGACGCUGAGGUGCGAAAGCGUGGGUAGCAAACAGGAUUAAAUACCCUGGUAGUCCACGCUGUAAACGAUGGAUACUA